RNAcentral lists this long non-coding RNA (350 nucleotides) under Rosa chinensis. RNAcentral describes it as "sRNA RchiOBHm_Chr5g0061571". Lineage: Eukaryota; Viridiplantae; Streptophyta; Magnoliopsida; Rosales; Rosaceae. The record is from RNAcentral.
CGAGGCCACGUCAGCGCCUCGACUGGCCUCCGACGGCAGCGGCGGCGGGAGCUCGCCGAGAACAACAAUCACCUCUUCUUUCCGAUCAGACCAGCAGUUUCUGGCAUUGGACAAUCCGACCUCGGAGUCGUCGUCAACGAGGUAGUCAAACGAUCCAAUGGAGUAGGAGCGGCGCGGGCUGGAGUUGGACGUCGUAGUUGUUUAGCGGCGGCUGAGGUUGCCUAUCUCGAUCGGCGGCGGUGGCGGAUUCUGCCAGAGAUACUCCGCGGCUGGAGACUCGGGCGGGGGCGUUGUGGAUGCAGCGGAGGAUUCGGUAGAGGAAGAAUGAAGUGACGAUGGUGACGACGACG